Molecule: ribosomal RNA, 253 nt
Filed under: uncultured bacterium
Lineage: Bacteria
Description: partial 16S ribosomal RNA
Rfam family: Bacterial small subunit ribosomal RNA
Source: RNAcentral
UACGUAGGCAGCAAGCGUUGUUCGGAGUUACUGGGCGUAAAGAGUGUGUAGGCGGUCGUCCAAGUUUGGUGUGAAAUCUCCCGGCUCAACUGGGAGGGUGCGCCGAAAACUGGAAGGCUGGAGUAUGGGAGAGGAAAGCGGAAUUCCUGGUGUAGCGGUGAAAUGCGUAGAUAUCAGGAGGAACACCUGCGGUGUAGACGGCUUUCUAGACCAUCACUGACGCUGAGACACGAAAGCGUGGGUAGCAAACAGG